UACGGAGGAUGCGAGCGUUAUCCGGAUUUAUUGGGUUUAAAGGGUGCGUAGGCGGGCUUUUAAGUCAGCGGUAAAAAUUCGGGGCUCAACCCCGUCCGGCCGUUGAAACUGGGGGUCUUGAGUGGGCGAGAAGAAGGCGGAAUGCGUGGUGUAGCGGUGAAAUGCAUGGAUAUCACGCAGAACCCCGAUUGCGAAGGCAGCCUUCCGGCGCCCUACUGACGCUGAGGCACGAAAGUGCGGGGAUCGAACAGG
Molecule: ribosomal RNA, 252 nt
Filed under: uncultured bacterium
Lineage: Bacteria
Description: partial 16S ribosomal RNA
Rfam family: Bacterial small subunit ribosomal RNA
Source: RNAcentral